CAUCUUGGCUAAUAGCCAUUGAUGGACCUAUCCUCCAUGAAUUUAUCUAGUUCUUUUUUGAACCUUCUUAUAAUCUUGGCCUUUACAGCAUCCUCUAGAAAAGAGUUCCACAGGCUGGCUAUGCAUUGUGUGCAAAAACACUUUUU
Long non-coding RNA from Gopherus evgoodei (Goodes thornscrub tortoise), 146 nucleotides. RefSeq lists it as uncharacterized. NCBI's taxonomy places the organism in Eukaryota, Metazoa, Chordata, Testudines, Testudinidae. The record is from RefSeq and is a predicted model, not a curated record. The transcript is spliced from 3 exons.